Molecule: long non-coding RNA, 337 nt
Organism: Lolium rigidum
Lineage: Eukaryota; Viridiplantae; Streptophyta; Magnoliopsida; Poales; Poaceae
Exons: 3
Source: RefSeq, a predicted model, not a curated record
CCGGGAUGAUUAUUUUGUUAUUAAUAGACCUUUCUUAAGGACGUGGUAUGGAUGGAUGAAGGCAUAGAACAGGCGCAUCCCAGCCUUCUCUUACCCAAAUUUGUGAGGCAAGCAUCCUUCCAUCGUUUUAUGGAUUGAAGAAGGCGCACAAUGAGAUCGGUCCACCCUUCUCUUACCCGGAUCAGCCAAGGGAGCAUCCUUCCAUGACAACGGCCAAAUCAUGUACCGAUGGCCUCUCGACGGCGUCGUGUACGUCUAGGUCAACACAUUCGCCUCAGGGGUUAUCCUGAUGGAGCUGAGAAGCGGCUCAGCCUCACUCUCCAAAGAUACAAGAGAU